AAAAAAGGAAAACUAAUUAUUUCAAGAAACUGAAUGGGGUAUGAACUAACUUCAGAAUCUACCACGUUGAAAUUGUGAUUUGCCACUCGAAACCAUGAGCUUUGCUGAAAGAAAAAACUGACGCUUUCCAACAAACAUUAUUGAUUCUUCCGUCGGAGGUUUCUUACUGAAUCUGAUGCCUUCUCUGUCCUUAUGUUGCAGUCACCAUUGUUUUCGAACUUUCAUGUUUCAUGUUUGUGUAAAAACAGCCAGAAAGAGUUUCUGAGAUAUAAUCUUCACCUGAGUUUCAAGCUGUACUUGUAAGAUUCUGGUGGAAAAUGAGCACCAAA
This 329-nucleotide unclassified non-coding RNA is filed under the name Hevea brasiliensis (rubber tree). The record is from RNAcentral. Lineage: Eukaryota; Viridiplantae; Streptophyta; Magnoliopsida; Malpighiales; Euphorbiaceae.